GGAAUUGUUCGCAAUGGGCGAAAGCCUGACGACGCAACGCCGCGUGGAGGAUGAAGGCCUUCGGGUCGUAAACUCCUUUCGAUCGAAAAGAAUUCCCUUGGGACUAAUAAUUCCGAGGGUUGACGAUAUCGAGUGAAGAAGCCACGGCUAACUCGGUGCAAGCAGCCGCGUUAAUACGGGGGGGGCAAGCGUUGUUCGGAAUUACUGGGCGUAAAGGGCUCGUAGGCGGCCAACUAAGUCGGACGUGAAAUCCCUCGGCUCAACCGAGGAACUGCGUCCGAUACUGGAUGGCUUGAGUCCGGGAGAGGGAUGCGGAAUUCCAGGUGUAGCGGUGAAAUGCGUAGAUAUCUGGAGGAACACCGGUGGCGAAGGCGGCAUCCUGGACCGGCACUGACGCUGAGGAGCGAAAGCCAGGGGAGCAAAC
RNAcentral lists this ribosomal RNA (424 nucleotides) under uncultured bacterium. RNAcentral describes it as "bacterial SSU rRNA". It matches the Rfam family "Bacterial small subunit ribosomal RNA", at positions 358 to 773 of the family's 1533-position model. The record is from RNAcentral.